AGGAGAGGCGGCGGGAGCUGCCCGAGUUUAGGCCAGGGAAGGGAAGGCUGAGAGGGGAUCUCGGUUAUACACAUCCUGCGGGGAGCGGCUGAGGGGGCGUCCCAGCCUGGUGAAAAAGGGGUUCAGGGGGACCUUGCUGCUGUCUGCAACUCCCUGACAGGAGGGUGGGCCAGGUGUGGGUCGGGCUCUUCUCCCACGGAACCAGCGACAGAACAAUGGGGCAGAGCCUUAACCUGCGCCAGGGCAGCUUAGGUUGGACAUCAGGAAGAAUCGUCUCAGAAGGGAUGUUUUGACAUUGGAACAGGCUGCCCAAGGAGGCGGUGGAGUCACGGUUCCUCUCGGUCCUUGAAGAAACGCUGGAUGUGGCACUCAGUGCCAUGGUCAGCUGUAGUUUGCAUUUACUGCAUCUGAUUUGGAACCCUAACUUGGAAGCCAAGUUUCACGAGACAG
Molecule: non-coding RNA, 450 nt
Organism: Zonotrichia albicollis (white-throated sparrow)
Lineage: Eukaryota; Metazoa; Chordata; Aves; Passeriformes; Passerellidae
Source: RefSeq, a predicted model, not a curated record